AUUGAACGCUGGCGGCAGGCCUAACACAUGCAAGUCGAGCGGAUGAAGGGAGCUUGCUCCUGGAUUCAGCGGCGGACGGGUGAGUAAUGCCUAGGAAUCUGCCUGGUAGGGGGAUAACGUCCGGAAACGGGCGCUAAUACCGCAUACGUCCUGAGGGAGAAAGUGGGGGAUCUUCGGACCUCACGCUAUCAGAUGAGCCUAGGUCGGAGUAGCUAGUUGGUGGGGUAAAGGCCUACCAAGGCGACGAUCCGUAACUGGUCUGAGAGGAGGAUCAGUCACACUGGAACUGAGACACGGUCCAGACUCCUACGGGAGGCAGCAGUGGGGAAUAUUGGACAAUGGGCGAAAGCCUGAUCCAGCCAUGCCGCGUGUGUGAAGAAGGUCUUCGGAUUGUAAAGCACUUUAAGUUGGGAGGAAGGGCAGUAAGUUAAUACCUUGCUGUUUUGACGUUACCAACAGAAUAAGCACCGGCUAACUUCGUG
This 482-nucleotide ribosomal RNA is filed under the name uncultured bacterium. Its description in RNAcentral is "partial 16S ribosomal RNA". It matches the Rfam family "Bacterial small subunit ribosomal RNA", at positions 30 to 507 of the family's 1533-position model. The record is from RNAcentral.